CUCUUAUUCAGAGUGAUGGAGUUACAUAGGAACUGUGAAGUCACGGCAACCCCGCCAUGCGGAAGGUGCCAACCUGAGCGAGUAGUCGAACAAUAAGAG
Molecule: non-coding RNA, 99 nt
Filed under: Firmicutes bacterium CAG:424
Lineage: Bacteria; Bacillati; Bacillota
Also listed under: 1 other name
Description: SAM riboswitch aptamer (S box leader)
Rfam family: SAM riboswitch aptamer (S box leader)
About the family: The SAM riboswitch is found upstream of a number of genes which code for proteins involved in methionine or cysteine biosynthesis in Gram-positive bacteria. The SAM riboswitch acts at the level of transcription termination control.
Source: Rfam by way of RNAcentral